Molecule: ribosomal RNA, 746 nt
Filed under: uncultured bacterium
Lineage: Bacteria
Description: bacterial SSU rRNA
Rfam family: Bacterial small subunit ribosomal RNA
Source: RNAcentral
AGUCGAGGGGCAGCAUAGGUAGCAAUACCUGAUGGCGACCGGCAAACGGGUGCGGAACACGUACGCAAUUUACCUCGUUCUGGGAGAUAGCCCGGAGAAAUCCGGAUUAAUAUCCCAUAGUAUAAAUGAGUGGCAUCACUUAUUUAUUAAAGUUCAGACGGAAUGAGAUGAGCGUGCGUCCCAUUAGCUAGUUGGUGUGGUAACGGCGCACCAAGGCGACGAUGGGUAGCUGAUGUGAGAGCAUGAUCAGCCACACGGGCACUGAGACACGGGCCCGACUCCUACGGGAGGCAGCAGUGAGGAAUAUUGGGCAAUGGACGCAAGUCUGACCCAGCCAUGCCGCGUGAAGGAUGAAGGCGUUCUGCGUUGUAAACUUCUUUUAUAAGGGAAGAAACCUGGAUUUUCUAAUUCAGCCGACGGUACCUUAUGAAUAAGCACCGGCUAACUCCGUGCCAGCAGCCGCGGUAAUACGGAGGGUGCAAGCGUUAUCCGGAUUCACUGGGUUUAAAGGGUGUGUAGGCGGACUGUUAAGUCAGUGGUGAAAUCUCCGGGCUCAACCCGGAAACUGCCGUUGAUACUAUCAGUCUUGAAUUCUGUUGAGGUGGGCGGAAUACAUCAUGUAGCGGUGAAAUGCUUAGAUAUGAUGUAGAACACCGAUUGCGAAGGCAGCUCACUAAGCAGCGAUUGACGCUGAGGCACGAAAGCGUGGGGAUCAAACAGGAUUAGAUACCCUGGUAGUCCACGCC